UGUUACGAGUCAUUCAAAUUUUCUCCUAUUUAGGAAAUUUCAUUUUUGCCUUAGUCAAACAACUUCCUACAUUUAAUGUUAGUACCCCCAUAGCUAGGGUAUGCUUAGUUUCAGAUCCAACCCAGAAGGUGGAAAUAGCAUGGUAUGGCCAUUCAGUUAAGUGUGGCUGUUUGGAUACAGCCUACUAUAGUUACGCAUUAAGAAAAAAAGAUACGGAAAUGUCAAGCGAGGAACUUGUCCAAAC
This 244-nucleotide long non-coding RNA is filed under the name Solanum tuberosum (potato). RNAcentral's name for it is "long non-coding RNA (STUB_LNC004184)". Lineage: Eukaryota; Viridiplantae; Streptophyta; Magnoliopsida; Solanales; Solanaceae. The record is from RNAcentral.